AUUGAACGCUGGCGGCAGGCCUAACACAUGCCAGUCGAGCGGAUGAAGGGAGCUUGCUCCUGGAUCCAGCGGCGGACGGGUGAGUAAUGCCUAGGAAUCUGCCUGGUAGUGGGGGAUAACGUCCGGAAACGGGCGCUAAUACCGCAUACGUCCUGAGGGAGAAAGUGGGGGAUCUUCGGACCUCACGCUAUCAGAUGAGCCUAGGUCGGAUUAGCUAGUUGGUGGGGUAAAGGCCUACCAAGGCGACGAUCCGUAACUGGUCUGAGAGGAUGAUCAGUCACACUGGAACUGAGACACGGUCCAGACUCCUACGGGAUGCAGCAGUGGGGAAUAUUGGACAAUGGGCGAAAGCCUGAUCCAGCCAUGCCGCGUGUGUGAAGAAGGUCUUCGGAUUGUAAAGCACUUUAAGUUGGGAGGAAGGGCAGUAAGUUAAUACCUUGCUGUUUUGACGUUACCAACAGAAUAAGCACCGGCUAACUUCGUG
RNAcentral lists this ribosomal RNA (484 nucleotides) under uncultured bacterium. RNAcentral describes it as "partial 16S ribosomal RNA". It matches the Rfam family "Bacterial small subunit ribosomal RNA", at positions 30 to 507 of the family's 1533-position model. The record is from RNAcentral.